RNAcentral lists this small nuclear RNA (103 nucleotides) under Monodon monoceros (narwhal). The record is from RNAcentral. Lineage: Eukaryota; Metazoa; Chordata; Mammalia; Artiodactyla; Monodontidae.
UUGCUUCAGUAGCACAUAUAUUAAAACUGGAAUGAUACAGAGAAGGUUAGCAUGCCCCCUGCACAAAGACGACAUGCAAAUUCAUGAAGCAUUUUACAUACAC